This 252-nucleotide ribosomal RNA is filed under the name uncultured bacterium. Its description in RNAcentral is "partial 16S ribosomal RNA". It matches the Rfam family "Bacterial small subunit ribosomal RNA", at positions 524 to 776 of the family's 1533-position model. The record is from RNAcentral.
UACGUAAGGACCGAGCGUUGUCCGGAAUCAUUGGGCGUAAAGGGUACGUAGGCGGAUAAGCAAGUUAGAAGUGAAAUCCUAUAGCUCAACUAUAGUAAGCUUUUAAAACUGCUCAUCUUGAGGUAUGGAAGGGAAAGGGGAAUCCCUAGUGUAGCGGUGAAAUGCGUUGAUAUGAGGAGGAAUACCGGUGGCGAAGGCGACUUUCUGGACAUAAACUGACGCUGAGGUACGAAAGCGUAGGUAGCAAACAGG